This 478-nucleotide ribosomal RNA is filed under the name uncultured marine eukaryote. RNAcentral's name for it is "bacterial SSU rRNA". It matches the Rfam family "Eukaryotic small subunit ribosomal RNA", at positions 618 to 1096 of the family's 1831-position model. The record is from RNAcentral.
GUUAAAAAGCUCGUAGUUGGAUUUCUGCGUGAGCGGGGCGGCCGGCCACAAUAGUGGCUCGUGCUAGCUAUGUUCGCGCAUCCGGUCGGAAGCCGUACUACCAUUCAUUUGGUGGUGCCGGUGAACGGCCCGUUUACUUUGAGAAAAAUAGAGUGUUCAAAGCAGGCCAUUUGCCUUGAAUAAUUUAGCAUGGAAUAAUAAUAAAGGACUACGGUUCUAUUUUGUUGGUGUUCGGGACCGAAGUAAUGAUUGAUAGGGACAGUUGGGGGCGUCAGUAUUCCAAAGCGAGAGGUGAAAUUCUUAGACCUUCGGAAGACUAACCGCUGCGAAAGCGUUCGCCAAGGAUGUUCCCUUUGAUCAAGAACGAAAGUUGGGGGAUCGAAGACGAUCAGAUACCGUCGUAGUCUCAACUAUAAACUAUACCAGCUAGGGAUCGGCCAAUGUUGGUUACAUAGACUUGGUCGGCACCUUAUGAGAA